Molecule: ribosomal RNA, 311 nt
Filed under: Trianguloscalpellum diota
Lineage: Eukaryota; Metazoa; Arthropoda; Thecostraca; Scalpellidae
Description: partial 12S ribosomal RNA
Source: RNAcentral
AACGGAUUUGACGGCGAAAUAGCCCAUCUAGAGGAACCUGCCCUUUAAACGAUAGACCACGAGAUAUCUUACUUUUGUUAGUAAACAGUUUGUAUACCGCUGUUGUUAGUUAGUUUUAUUAGGAAACUUUCUUAAAUGAUUUUAUCAUUUACUUCAAGUAAAGGGGCAGCUUAUAUAAAAGUAAGUGGUGGGUUACAAUUAAUAGAUUAUUAUGAAUUAAUAAAUGAAAUUAGCUUUAUUAUGAAAUUGGAUUUAGAUGUAAGUUUUAAAGAAAUUGAUAAGCGCACUAUUUUGUGUACAUACCGCCCGUC